This 491-nucleotide ribosomal RNA is filed under the name Xylographa erratica. RNAcentral describes it as "eukaryotic LSU rRNA". The stretch from base 133 to 286 matches the Rfam family "5.8S ribosomal RNA". The record is from RNAcentral. Lineage: Eukaryota; Fungi; Ascomycota; Lecanoromycetes; Baeomycetales; Xylographaceae.
GAACUUACCUUUGUUGCUUGGGCGGGCUGCGGGGUCCUUGGACCCCCCGUCGACCCCGGUGGACGCGCGCCCGUCGGAGGCCCCUCCGAACUCUGUUAAUCAGUGAAGUCCGAGCCAAAACAUAAUCGUUAAAACUUUCAACAACGGAUCUCUUGGUUCCGGCAUCGAUGAANAACGCAGCGAAAUGCGAUAAGUAAUGUGAAUUGCAAAAUUCAGUGAAUCAUCGAAUCUUUGAACGCACAUUGCGCCCUCCGGUAUUCCGGGGGGCAUGCCUGUUCGAGCGUCAUUACAACCCUCAAGCUCGGCUUGGUGUUGGGUGCCGUCCCCCCGGGGCGCCCCCGAAAGUCAGCGGCGACGCGGUCGGUCUUCAAGCGUAGUAAAACUUUUGUUUCGCUGUCGGAGCCCGGGCGCGUCCGCCGGACAACCCUCUUAUUUCAAUGGUCGACCUCGGAUCAGGUAGGGAUACCCGCUGAACUUAAGCAUAUCAAUAA